Molecule: ribosomal RNA, 253 nt
Filed under: uncultured bacterium
Lineage: Bacteria
Description: partial 16S ribosomal RNA
Rfam family: Bacterial small subunit ribosomal RNA
Source: RNAcentral
GACGUAGGGGGCGAGCGUUGUCCGGAUUUAUUGGGCGUAAAGCGUGCGUAGGCGGCUUCGCAAGUCGGGUGUGAAACCCCGGGGCUCAACCCCGGAACUGCAUCCGAUACUGCGUGGCUAGAGGUAGGUAGGGGAGAUCGGAAUUCCUGGUGUAGCGGUGAAAUGCGCAGAUAUCAGGAGGAACACCGGUGGCGAAGGCGGAUCUCUGGGCCUUACCUGACGCUCAGGCACGAAAGCUAGGGGAGCGAACAGG